RNAcentral lists this ribosomal RNA (440 nucleotides) under uncultured bacterium. RNAcentral describes it as "partial 16S ribosomal RNA". It matches the Rfam family "Bacterial small subunit ribosomal RNA", at positions 338 to 795 of the family's 1533-position model. The record is from RNAcentral.
CCUACGGGAGGCAGCAGUGGGGAAUAUUGCACAAUGGGGGAAACCCUGAUGCAGCGACGCCGCGUGAGUGAAGAAGUAUUUCGGUAUGUAAAGCUCUAUCAGCAGGGAAGAAAAUGACGUUACCUGACUAAUAAGCCCCGGCUAACUACGUGCCAGACGCCGCGGUAAUACGGAGGGGGCAAGCGUUAUCCGGAUUUACUGGGUGUAAAGGGAGCGUAGACGGCUGCGCAAGUCUGAAGUGAAAUGCCGGGGCUGAACCCCGGGACUGCUUUGGAAACUGUGCAGCUAGAGUGCAGGAGAGGUAAGUGGAAUUCCUAGUGUAGCGGUGAAAUGCGUAGAUAUUAGGAGGAACACCAGUGGCGAAGGCGGCUUACUGGACUGUAACUGACGUUGAGGCUCGAAAGCGUGGGGAGCAAACAGGAUUAGAUACCCUAGUAGUC